RNAcentral lists this ribosomal RNA (443 nucleotides) under uncultured bacterium. RNAcentral's name for it is "partial 16S ribosomal RNA". It matches the Rfam family "Bacterial small subunit ribosomal RNA", at positions 338 to 795 of the family's 1533-position model. The record is from RNAcentral.
CCUACGUGAGGCAGCAGUGGGGGAUAUUGGACAAUGGGGGGAACCCUGAUCCAGCGACGCCGCGUGAGUGAAGAAGUAUUUCGGUAUGUAAAGCUCUGUCAGCAGGGAAGAAAGAAAUGACGGUACCUGACCAAGAAGCCCCGGCUAACUACGUGCCAGCAGCCGCGGUAAUACGUAGGGGGCAAGCGUUAUCCGGAAUUACUGGGGGUAAAGGGAGCGUAGACGGUUAAGUAAGUCUGGAGUGAAAGGCCGGGGCCCACCCCCGGGACUGCUCUUGAAAUUAUUGAACUUGAGUGCAGGAGAGGUAAGCGGAAUUCCUAGUGUAGCGGUGAAAUGCGUAGAUAUUAGGAGGAACACCAGUGGCGAAGGCGGCUUACUGGACUGUAACUGACGUUGAGGCUCGAAAGCGUGGGGAGCAAACAGGAUUAGAUACCCUAGUAGUC